GGGCCGCUAGCUCAAUGGUAGAGCAGAUGCCUCUUAAGCAUCCGGUUACAGGUUCGAAUCCUGUGCGGCUCACCA
This 75-nucleotide transfer RNA is filed under the name bacterium. Its description in RNAcentral is "tRNA-Lys". It matches the Rfam family "tRNA". Rfam says of the family: Transfer RNA (tRNA) molecules are approximately 80 nucleotides in length. The record is from RNAcentral.